This is a long non-coding RNA of Aricia agestis (brown argus), 182 nucleotides long. RefSeq lists it as uncharacterized. The transcript is spliced from 3 exons. NCBI's taxonomy places the organism in Eukaryota, Metazoa, Arthropoda, Insecta, Lepidoptera, Lycaenidae. The record is from RefSeq and is a predicted model, not a curated record.
UCUAUUUGCCACUAGAUGUCGCAAUGUAGCCGUCAGGUCUAUCGUGUCAUACUGCUGUCAUAUGAAUAUAUCACGAUUCACGAUAUAGCUGUCAUGAGUCACGAUAAUAUGUCUAUUUGACAGACCUGACGGCUACAUCGCGGCACCUGGUGGCAAAUAGAAUUUCAACAACCCUUAUUGUA